AGAGUUUGAUCAUGGCUCAGAACGAACGCUGGCGGCGUGGAUAAGACAUGCAAGUCGGACGGGAACUUUCGUUGUAGCAAUACAGUGGAAGUUCUAGUGGCGAACGGGUGCGUAACACGUGGGCAAUUUGCCUUAAAGUGUGGGAUAGCUCGGCGAAAGCCGGAUUAAUACCGCAUGUGGCUACUGGAGACAUCUUCGGGACGCUAAAGGUGGCGCAAGCUACCGCUUUUUGAGAAGCCCGCGGCCUAUCAGCUUGUUGGUGAGGUAACGGCUCACCAAGGCGUUGACGGGUAGCUGGUCUGAGAGGACGACCAGCCACACUGGGACUGAGACACGGCCCAGACACCUACGGGUGGCAGCAGUCGAGAAUUUUUGACAAUGGGGGAAACCCUGAUCGAGCGACGCCGCGUGGAGGAUGAAGGUCUUCGGGUUGUAAACUCCUGUCAUUUGGGAACAAGGCGUAUUUAUUAACUGUAAGUACGUUGAUAGUACCAGAAGAGGAAGGGACGGCUAACUCUGUGCCAGCAGCCGCGGUAAUACAGAGGUCUCAAGCGUUGUUCGGAUUCAUUGGGCGUAAAGGGUGUGUAGGUGGCGCGCUAAGUCGGGUGUGAAAUUUCGGAGCUUAACUCCGAAACUGCAUUCGAUACUGGCGUGCUUGAGGACUGGAGAGGAGACUGGAAUUUACGGUGUAGCAGUGAAAUGCGUAGAUAUCGUAAGGAAGACCAGUGGCGAAGGCGGGUCUCUGGACAGUUCCUGACACUGAGACACGAAGGCCAGGGGAGCAAACGGGAUUAGAUACCCUAGUAGUCC
This 810-nucleotide ribosomal RNA is filed under the name uncultured bacterium. RNAcentral's name for it is "bacterial SSU rRNA". It matches the Rfam family "Bacterial small subunit ribosomal RNA", at positions 8 to 796 of the family's 1533-position model. The record is from RNAcentral.